RNAcentral lists this ribosomal RNA (432 nucleotides) under Bacillus subtilis. Its description in RNAcentral is "bacterial SSU rRNA". It matches the Rfam family "Bacterial small subunit ribosomal RNA", at positions 86 to 503 of the family's 1533-position model. Lineage: Bacteria; Bacillati; Bacillota; Bacilli; Caryophanales; Bacillaceae. The record is from RNAcentral.
CUGAUGUUAGCGGCGGACGGGUGAGUAACACGUGGGUAACCUGCCUGUAAGACUGGGAUAACUCCGGGAAACCGGAGCUAAUACCGGAUGCUUGUUUGAACCGCAUGGUUCAAACAUAAAAGGUGGCUUCGGCUACCACUUACAGAUGGACCCGCGGCGCAUUAGCUAGUUGGUGAGGUAAUGGCUCACCAAGGCGACGAUGCGUAGCCGACCUGAGAGGGUGAUCGGCCACACUGGGACUGAGACACGGCCCAGACUCCUACGGGAGGCAGCAGUAGGGAAUCUUCCGCAAUGGACGAAAGUCUGACGGAGCAACGCCGCGUGAGUGAUGAAGGUUUUCGGAUCGUAAAGCUCUGUUGUUAGGGAAGAACAAGUACCGUUCGAAUAGGGCGGUACCUUGACGGUACCUAACCAAAAAGCCACGGCUAACUA